AAAGGUGAAAUUGAUUAUAUUAUUUAUAGAUGUUAAACAGGAAAAAAGGCUAUUAAGUCUUAAAAAUAAACUAGGAUUAGAUACCCUAUUAUAUAAGGUUUUAAAUAAAUACUGGAUUAGUAGUAGUUAUUUACUUGAAAUUUAAAGAAUUUGGCGGUAAUUUAGUCUUAUUAGAGGAACCUGUUUUUUAAUCGAAACACCACGUAAUAUCUUACUUUAGUUUGUAUACCAUCAUUAUUAGAUAAUUUUUAAAAAAGAAAUUAUUAAGAUUAAUUUAUUAAAUAAAUUAGAUCAAGGUGCAGCUAAUAAGAAAGUUAAAAUGGGUUACAAUAAAAUUUAUUUAUUACGAAUGAAAUUAUAAGAAGGAGGAUUUAAUUGUAUAUAAGUUUAAUAAGCUGUAAUGAUAAAAGCUCUAAAUUAUGUACAUAUCGCCCGUCGCUUUC
RNAcentral lists this ribosomal RNA (443 nucleotides) under Parathelphusa pantherina. RNAcentral's name for it is "partial 12S small subunit ribosomal RNA". The record is from RNAcentral. Lineage: Eukaryota; Metazoa; Arthropoda; Malacostraca; Decapoda; Gecarcinucidae.